Molecule: ribosomal RNA, 567 nt
Filed under: uncultured bacterium
Lineage: Bacteria
Description: bacterial SSU rRNA
Rfam family: Bacterial small subunit ribosomal RNA
Source: RNAcentral
UAACAUGCAAGUCGAACGAUUAAAGCUCCCUUCGGGGAGUGUAUAGAGUGGCGCACGGGUGAGUAACACGUAAGUAAUCUACCUUCGAGUGGGGAAUAACGUCCGGAAACGGACGCUAAUACCGCAUAAUGCAGCGGCAUCGCAAGAUGACAGUUGUUAAAGAUUUAUCGCUUGAAGAGGAGCUUGCGGCAGAUUAGCUAGUUGGUAAGGUAAUGGCUCUACCAAGGCUACGAUCUGUAACCGGUCUAAGAGGACGGUCGGUCACACUGACACUGAAUAACGGGUCAGACUCCUACGGGAGGCAGCAGUCGGGAAUUUUGGGCAAUGGGCGAAAGCCUGACCCAGCAACGCCGCGUGAAGGAUGAAGUAUUUCGGUAUGUAAACUUCGAAAGAAUGGGAAGAAUAAAUGACGGUACCAUUUAUAAGGUCCGGCUAACUACGUGCCAGCAGCCGCGGUAAUACGUAGGGACCAAGCGUUGUUCGGAUUUACUGGGCGUAAAGGGCGCGUAGGCGGCUUGUCAAGUCACUUGUGGAAAUCCUCUGGGCUUUAACCCCAGAACGGCCAAA